CUACGUGCCAGCAGCCGCGGUAAUACGUAUGUCACAAGCGUUAUCCGGAUUUAUUGGGCGUAAAGCGCGUCUAGGUGGUUAUGUAAGUCUGAUGUGAAAAUGCAGGGCUCAACUCUGUAUUGCGUUGGAAACUGCAUGACUAGAGUACUGGAGAGGUAAGCGGAACUACAAGUGUAGAGGUGAAAUUCGUAGAUAUUUGUAGGAAUGCCGAUGGGGAAGCCAGCUUACUGGACAGAUACUGACGCUGAAGCGCGAAAGCGUGGGUAGCAAACAGGAUUAGAUACCCUGGUAGUCCACGCCGUAAACGAUGAUUACUAGGUGUUGGGGGUCGAACCUCAGCGCCCAAGCUAACGCGAUAAGUAAUCCGCCUGGGGAGUACGUACGCAAGUAUGAAACUCAAAGGAAUUGACGGGGACCCGCACAAGCGGUGGAGCAUGUGGUUUAAUUCGACGCAACGCGAGGAACCUUACCAGCGUUUGACAUC
RNAcentral lists this ribosomal RNA (484 nucleotides) under uncultured bacterium. RNAcentral's name for it is "bacterial SSU rRNA". It matches the Rfam family "Bacterial small subunit ribosomal RNA", at positions 501 to 988 of the family's 1533-position model. The record is from RNAcentral.